RNAcentral lists this ribosomal RNA (432 nucleotides) under Coniochaeta hoffmannii. RNAcentral's name for it is "eukaryotic LSU rRNA". It matches the Rfam family "Eukaryotic large subunit ribosomal RNA", at positions 124 to 568 of the family's 3401-position model. The record is from RNAcentral. Lineage: Eukaryota; Fungi; Ascomycota; Sordariomycetes; Coniochaetales; Coniochaetaceae.
GGCUUCGGCCCGAGUUGUAAUUUGUAGAGGAUGCUUUUGGCGAGGUGCCUUCUGAGUUCCCUGGAACGGGACGCCAGAGAGGGUGAGAGCCCCGUAUAGUCGGACACCAAGCCUUUGUAAAGCUCCUUCGACGAGUCGAGUAGUUUGGGAAUGCUGCUCAAAAUGGGAGGUAUAUCUCUUCUAAAGCUAAAUAUAGGCCAGAGACCGAUAGCGCACAAGUAGAGUGAUCGAAAGAUGAAAAGCACUUUGAAAAGAGGGUUAAAUAGCACGUGAAAUUGUUGAAAGGGAAGCGCUUGUGACCAGACUUGUGCCGGGCUGAUCAUCCAGUGUUCUCACUGGUGCACUCGACCCGGCUCAGGCCAGCGUCGGUUCUCGUGGGGGGAUAAAAACUUCGGGAACGUGGCUCCUCCGGGAGUGUUAUAGCCCGUUGUU